CGGGUGAGUAAUGUCUGGGAAACUGCCUGAUGGAGGGGGAUAACUACUGGAAACGGUAGCUAAUACCGCAUAACGUCGCAAGACCACAGAGGGGGACCUUCGGGCCUCUUGCCAUCGGAUGUGCCCAGAUGGGAUUAGCUAGUAGGUGGGGUAACGGCUCACCUAGGCGACGAUCCCUAGCUGGUCUGAGAGGAUGACCAGCCACACUGGAACUGAGACACGGUCCAG
Molecule: ribosomal RNA, 228 nt
Filed under: uncultured bacterium
Lineage: Bacteria
Description: partial 16S ribosomal RNA
Rfam family: Bacterial small subunit ribosomal RNA
Source: RNAcentral